CACUUCUAAGGAAGGCAGCAGGCGCGCAAAUUACCCAAUCCUGACUCAGGGAGGUAGUGACAAGAAAUAACAAUAAACCGGCUUAUGCCGGUUUAAUUGGAAUGAGUACAAUUUAAACAUCUUAACGAGGAACAAUUGGAGGGCAAGUCUGGUGCCAGCAGCCGCGGUAAUUCCAGCUCCAAUAGCGUAUACUAAAGUUGUUGCAGUUAAAAAGCUCGUAGUUGGAUUUCUGUGGGGACGGAGCGGCCGGCCGCAACACGCGGUUCGAGCUAGCGCUUUCCCUACAUCCUGCCGCGAACCGUGCUACCAUUAGUUUGGUGGCGCCGGGGAUCGGCUCGAUUACUUUGAGAAAAAUAGAGUGUUCAAAGCAGGCCACACGCCUUGAAUAAGUUAGCAUGGAAUAAUAACUAAGGACUUCGGUUCUAUUUUGUUGGUGUUCGGGACUGAAGUAAUGAUUGAUAGGGACAGUUGGGGCGGUCUGCAUUCCAAAGCGAGAGGUGAAAUUCUUAGACCUUCGGAAGACAAACAGCUGCGAAAGCGUUCCGCAAGGAUGUUCCCUUUGAUCAAGAACGAAAGUUGGGGGAUCGAAGACGAUCAGAUACCGUCGUAGUCUCAACUAUAAACUAUACCAGCUAGGGAUCGGCCAACGUUAUUUCAAACCGACUUGGUCGGCACCUUAUGAGAAAUCAAAGCAUCUGGGUUCCGGGGGGAGUAUGGUCGCAAGGCUGAAACUUAAAGGAAUUGACGGAAGGGCACCACCAGCCGUGGAGCCAGUGGCUUAAUUUGACUCAACACGGGAAAACUUACCAGGUCCAGACAUAGUAGGGAUUGACAGAUUGAUAGCUCUUUCUUGAUUCUGUGGGUGGUGGUGCAUGGCCGUUCUUAGUUGGUGGAGUGAUUUGUCUGGUUAAUUCCGUUAACGAACGAGACCCCAGCCUGCUAAAUAGCGCGCGUGAGCUUUGCUCGCGGCGAGCUUCUUAGAGGGACUCUGAUGCGCGAUAGCACAUGGAAGUUUGGGGCAAUAACAGGUCUGUGAUGCCCUUAGAUGUUCUGGGCCGCACACGGGCUACACUGGCGCCUGCAUCGAGCAUAUCAGCUGGCCCGAGAGGGUCUUGGCUAAUCUUUUGAACCGGCGCCGUGCUUGGGAUUGACCUUUGCAAUUGUUGGUCAUGCAACGAGGAAUGCCUUGUAAACGCGAGUCAUCAGCUCGCAUUGAAUACGUCCCUGCCCUUUGUACACACCGCCCGUCGCUCCUACCGAUGAAUGUUCCGAUGAAAUUUUCGGAGAGUGCCUGUGAACUUGGCUCUGCCUUGCGAACGGGAAGCUCAAAGUCACUUAAAUCUGAACAUUUCGAGG
RNAcentral lists this ribosomal RNA (1356 nucleotides) under uncultured marine eukaryote. RNAcentral describes it as "SSU rRNA". It matches the Rfam family "Eukaryotic small subunit ribosomal RNA", at positions 411 to 1779 of the family's 1831-position model. The record is from RNAcentral.